GCAAGUCGAGCGCACUCUUCGGAGUGAGCGGCGGACGGGUUAGUAACGCGUGGGAACGUACCCAGAUCUACGGAAUAGCCUCGGGAAACUGAGAGUAAUACCGUAUACGCCCUUCGGGGGAAAGAUUUAUCGGAUUUGGAUCGGCCCGCGUUAGAUUAGAUAGUUGGUGAGGUAACGGCUCACCAAGUCUACGAUCUAUAGCUGGUUUUAGAGGAUGAUC
Molecule: ribosomal RNA, 220 nt
Filed under: uncultured bacterium
Lineage: Bacteria
Description: partial 16S ribosomal RNA
Rfam family: Bacterial small subunit ribosomal RNA
Source: RNAcentral